AUUGAACGCUGGCGGCAUGCCUUACACAUGCAAGUCGAACGGCAGCACGGGUGCUUGCACCUGGUGGCGAGUGGCGAACGGGUGAGUAAUACAUCGGAACGUACCUUAUCGUGGGGGAUAACGCAGCGAAAGCUGUGCUAAUACCGCAUACGCCCUGAGGGGGAAAGCGGGGGAUCGAAAGACCUCGCGCGAUUAGAGCGGCCGAUGCCUGAUUAGCUUGUUGGUGGGGUAAAAGCCCACCAAGUCGACGAUCAGUAGCUGGUCUGAGAGGUCGAUCAGCCACACUGGGACUGAGACACGGCCCAGACUCCUACGGGAGGCAGCAGUGGGGAAUUUUGGACAAUGGGGGCAACCCUGGUCCAGCAAUGCCGCGUGAGUGAAGAAGGCCUUCGGGUUGUAAAGCUCUUUUGUCAGGGAAGAAACACCGGCUCUAACACAGUCCGGGAAUGACGGUACCUGAAGAAUAAGCACCGGCUAACUACGUGCCAGCCGCCGCGGUAA
RNAcentral lists this ribosomal RNA (501 nucleotides) under uncultured bacterium. Its description in RNAcentral is "partial 16S ribosomal RNA". It matches the Rfam family "Bacterial small subunit ribosomal RNA", at positions 30 to 523 of the family's 1533-position model. The record is from RNAcentral.